AUACGUAGGGGGCAAGCGUUAUCCGGAUUUACUGGGUGUAAAGGGAGCGUAGACGGCAAAGUAAGUCUGAAGUGAAAGCCCCGGGCUCAACCCGGGAACUGCUUUGGAAACUAUUUAGCUAGAGUGCAGGAGAGGUAAGUGGAAUUCCUAGUGUAGCGGUGAAAUGCGUAGAUAUUAGGAGGAACACCGGCGGCGAAGGCGGCUUACUGGACUGUAACUGACGUUGAGGCUCGAAAGCGUGGGGAGCAAACAGGAUUAGAUACCCUGGUAGUCACGCCGUAAACGAUGAUCACUAGGUGUUGGGAGGCAAAGCCUUUCGGUGCCGCAGCUAACGCAAUAAGUGAUCCACCUGGGGAGUACGUUCGCAAGAAUGAA
RNAcentral lists this ribosomal RNA (375 nucleotides) under uncultured bacterium. RNAcentral describes it as "partial 16S ribosomal RNA". It matches the Rfam family "Bacterial small subunit ribosomal RNA", at positions 523 to 898 of the family's 1533-position model. The record is from RNAcentral.